ACUCCUACGGGAGGCAGCAGUGGGGAAUAUUGCGCAAUGGGCGUAAGCCUGACGCAGCAACGCCGCGUGAGGGAAGAAGGCUCUCGGGUUGUAAACCGCUUUCAGAAGGAACGAAACUGACGGUACUUUCAGAAGAAGGUGCGGCCAACUACGUGCCAGCAGCCGCGGUGACACGUAGGCACCAAGCGUUGUCCGGAUUUAUUGGGCGUAAAGAGCUCGUAGGCGGUUCAGUAAGUCAGGUGUGAAAUCUUUGGGCUUAACCCAAAGCGUGCAUUUGAUACUGCUGGACUUGAGUUCGGUAGGGGAGUGGGGAAUUCCUAGUGUAGCGGUGAAAUGCGCAGAUAUUAGGAGGAACACCGGUGGCGAAGGCGCCACUCUGGGCCGAAACUGACGCUGAGGAGCGAAAGCGUGGGUAGCAAACAGGAUUAGAUACCCUGGUAGUCCACGCCGUAAACGUUGGGCACUAGGUGUGGGUUCCAACCAACGGAAUCCGCGCCGUCGCUAACGCAUUAAGUGCCCCGCCUGGGGAGUACGGCCGCAAGGUUAAAACUCAAAGGAAUUGACGGGGGCCCGCACAAGCAGCGGAGUGUGUUGCUUAAUUCGAUGCAACGCGAAGAACCUUACCUGGGCUUGACAUGUGGGGAAAAGCCGUAGAGAUACGGUGUCCUUCGGGGCCUCACACAGGUGGUGCAUGGCUGCCGUCAGCUCGUGUCGUGAGAUGUUGGGUUAAGUCCCGCAACGAGCGCAACCCUUAUUCUAUGUUGCCAGCGGAUUAUGCCGGGGACUCGUAGAAGACUGCCGGGGUCAACUCGGA
This 814-nucleotide ribosomal RNA is filed under the name uncultured Actinomycetes bacterium. Its description in RNAcentral is "bacterial SSU rRNA". It matches the Rfam family "Bacterial small subunit ribosomal RNA", at positions 335 to 1167 of the family's 1533-position model. The record is from RNAcentral. Lineage: Bacteria; Bacillati; Actinomycetota; Actinomycetes.